Macaca mulatta (Rhesus monkey) is the source of this 3168-nucleotide long non-coding RNA. The record is from Ensembl. Lineage: Eukaryota; Metazoa; Chordata; Mammalia; Primates; Cercopithecidae.
AUGCGUGUAUUCAUAGUGAUAAAUCCAGAAAUAUUAAAUCUUAUAUUCUGCCUUCUUUGGUCUAACAGCCUAAGAAUGUAUUCCCAUAUGUUCUCCACACUUAUGCCAAAAAUGGUGUCAAGAUGUAAGAGUGUCAACUCUCUUCCAAGAAGAUCAUGCUUUGCACUUUUCCAUCUGGGAGUUGCUGGGAUCCAACCAGUUAAGAACUUGGAAGAAAUGAGGUGCAGUCAAGGGCUCAACCUAAACAUGAGGAGGAAAAUGGCAGAAAUGUGGCUGAAUUCUGGCCACAGUGAAAUGACCAACUCAGUGCAACCACGUGAGUGAUUUCAAGAGAGACCAAGAGAAGAAUCACAAGGUAAUACAGAGAAUGAUGAAAAAAUAAUUAUUUUUUAUUUAGGCUUCAAAAUUUGGGAAUGGUUUUUAAUCCAGUAAUAUAUUAACUGAGAAAUGAUCCCUCUCAGGGAAGGCCUACAUCCACCGGGUGGUGGAUAGAGGGGUAGAAAGCCUGGUUCCUUUUUGUCAAUUAAAGACUCUUUGCAGGAUCAUCCUAGCUUCACAGUUCCCCAUAAGGUCAACUGAAACAUCUGUAGCCAUGUAUCACAUUUCAGUUUCUCCCUUUGCUGUUGUGCCUCCUCAUUUCCUUAUAUGUGUUGUUCCUAGAAGAUUUCCCAUUUCUUCUCAAUCAGUGCUUUAUGAAGUAUUUAUUUGCUUCCAACGCUGCAACUCUUACAAUCAAUUCUUACGAUCAAUCUUCAGCCAUGUAUGCCCUGAAUCUGUAUCUGCCAAAGAGGUAGCCAGCUACAGGUUGACCUGUACCUUGAGAUAUAAAUUCAGAGUUUUCUAUCACAGCUCUUUCUAUCAUUGCUCAAAGUUUUCUAUCAUUGCUCAAUGAUUGUGUCAUUGUAAUAUGAUCAACGUCAUUCAGCGCAGAACACAACCAAUAACCAAUCUUUUUACCAUAACCAUUGAGUGUCAUUUAUUCUUGUCUCCCAAUGCCUUGACCUCCAUUUGCAUUCAAGCCCAUGGCAGUGUCAGUGAUAAUGUGUGCGAUUGUGACACACCACUCUACACCAUAUUCUGUUAAAUCCCAUUUCUUUCAACAUGGAGAUUUUCUGAGGAGUCAUUAGGUGAACAUUUUUAUUCCAUAAUCUGGUUUCAUGGGUUUUUUCUUAAGGCCACCCUAGUACUAAUUGUCACAUAAUUUGAGUAGAAAAAGACAUGGUACAUAUAAAAGGGUAAUUUAAAAAAUAAUAAAAGCCUGUUUACAAUGGUAUGGAAAAGAUUAAGGAAAUUAAGAGGGGAUGGUACAGCUUCCAGAAACUAGCAAAAGCAAGGAGUCAUUAAUAACCCUAGAUCUGUAGAUGAUUUGGGAGAGAACAGUGCUACUGGAAACCAGGAAUUGUUGUAAUUCCAGGGGCAAAGCCACCUAAGAAAAGCUAAAGCCAUAAGUGAGAAAACAAACUUUCUUCCAAUCCACAGUGAAAUAAUGGGAAGGCAGGGAGUUAUACAUCUCUUCUUGCCUUCCUACUUUUGUUUGCGCCCCGUCGAUACCACUCAACUGAAAGCCAGAAAGCAUAAAGGCCUAGGUCUUACCAUCUGUAGGAAUCAGUCUCCCAGAAUAAAGUAGAGGGCAGAGAAAGAAAUAUAAAGUGGAGUGCAGAUAUGGAGAGACAGAGGAUAACCAAAUCAAGUGGCAUGCCCCUUUUCUAUCUUUACUUUUUUAUCAACCGUAUUUCUAUUCAAUUCCAGUCAUCUUUGUUUUAAUUUGGUGACUGUGGCAGACUUCAAUUUGAUUAUCUUCCUUUCUUCCUGGAUCUCUGCUUCCAUCCUUCAUUUCCAAUUUCUGUCUUUUCUUUUUUUUUUUUUCCUGUCUUUUAUUCCUUCUCUGAAACAUAGUCGAUGUCUGAUAAAACCAAAGCAUGGUUCAAAAGACGAUGUUAAAACAUAGCCCCACAAUCUCAGGCCUUGCAAUUUAGUUGUUCAGUUGUGAUAUGGGUACCCAUAAUUAUACUAAAAACAUUUUACAGAUGUGAUAACUAUUUCAUGAGGACCUAUUCAGUUCCAGUUACCUCAUUCCUUAUACAUUUACAGAAAAGUCAUUAUUUUACCUCUGAUGACACAUGUAAAGAAAUGCAAGAAAUCAUUUGCUUUACACUGAAGAAUGUAUAAAAUAUGAGUAUAUAUUAAUAUAUAAAAUGCACAUAUUUAGUAUGUUAUAUGCUGAUAUACAUCAUUUUACAUAUCUUUUAAACAAUUAAUUAGAUACAUAGCUUAGAUUAUUAAUAGCUUAAGUGGAGAAUCUACACCUACACUCUUUCUGAAUUCAGUAGCAAGUUCAGCAUGAUGCUGGAUAUCCACUAGGUAAUUUCUAAAUGCUUAUUGGCUUUACUUAGGUUUUUCUUAGGAUUGGUUCCUAUGAAUCAGAUUUUGAUAAAACUCUUGCAUUUUUAUAACCAUACAGUUAGGAAAUAUGAUCAUUCUUGUCUUAGAUUUAGUUUGCAUUUUAUACAUUAUCACUUAGAAACUUAAAGAAAUAAAGCAUGUUUAAGGCAUAUUCAAAACACUGAUAAAAAUCCUGUUUAUAUGGUAAUUUGGGAACACUAUAAAUCUCACAGGAUUUUUGAAAUUCAUAGAAGAGAUAAAUUACUUAGAAAGAAAAAAGUGUGAAUAUCAAAUAUACUUAACUUUUUUAUUUUCUAAAAAGUUGAUUUUUUAUUUUUACUAGUGUGUAUUUUAUUGAGUAUACAAUAAAAACAUUUUUAAGAAUAAGCUAAAUCAAAGUAAAUAGGAAGGUAGUUCUUAGAAAUGGGGUGAUUUUCAGCCCAGCAUGGUAGCUCACACCUGUAAUCCCAGCACUUUGGGAGGCCGAGGCGGGCAGAUCACCUGAGGUCAGGAGUUCGAGACCAGCCUGGCCAACGUGGUGAAAUCCUGUCUCUACUGAAAAUACAAAAAUUAGCCAGGCGUGGUGGCUUACGCUUGUAAUCUCAGCUACUCAGGAGGCUGAGGCAGGAGAAUCACUUGAACCUGGGAGGCAGAGGUUGCAGAGAGCGGAGAUCUUGCCACUGCACUCCAGCCUGGGCGACAAGAGUGAAACUCCGCUCAAAAGAUACAAAUACAGUAAAAUGUAGCUCUAUCAUUUAUAUAUGCAGAUGUGAAACAUCUGUGGCU